RNAcentral lists this unclassified non-coding RNA (353 nucleotides) under soil metagenome. Its description in RNAcentral is "partial contains 5.8S ribosomal RNA, internal transcribed spacer 2, and large subunit ribosomal RNA". The stretch from base 1 to 120 matches the Rfam family "5.8S ribosomal RNA", at positions 35 to 154 of the family's 154-position model. The record is from RNAcentral.
GAUGAAGAACGUAGCGAAAUGCGAUAAGUAAUGUGAAUUGCAGAAUUCAGUGAAUCAUCGAAUCUUUGAACGCACAUUGCGCCCGCCAGUAUUCUGGCGGGCAUGCCUGUUCGAGCGUCAUUACAACCCUCAGGCCCCCGGGCCUGGCGUUGGGGAUCGGCGGAAGCCCCCUGCGGGCACAACGCCGUCCCCCAAAUACAGUGGCGGUACCGCCGCAGCUUCCAUUGCGUAGUAGCUAACACCUCGCAACUGGAGAGCGGCGCGGCCACGCCGUAAAACACCCAACUUCUGAAUGUUGACCUCGAAUCAGGUAGGAAUACCCGCUGAACUUAAGCAUAUCAAUAAGCGGAGGA